GCUUACGGCCAUACCACCCUGAACACGCCCGAUCUCGUCUGAUCUCGGAAGCUAAGCAGGGUCGGGCCUGGUCAGUACUUGGAUGGGAGACCGCCUGGAAUACCAGGUGCUGUAAGCU
This is a ribosomal RNA of Oreochromis niloticus (Nile tilapia), 118 nucleotides long. NCBI's taxonomy places the organism in Eukaryota, Metazoa, Chordata, Actinopteri, Cichliformes, Cichlidae. The record is from Ensembl.